Molecule: ribosomal RNA, 207 nt
Filed under: uncultured bacterium
Lineage: Bacteria
Description: partial 16S ribosomal RNA
Rfam family: Bacterial small subunit ribosomal RNA
Source: RNAcentral
CUCGUAGGUGGCCAACUAAGUCAGACGUGAAAUCCCCAGGCUUAACCUGGGAACUGCGUCUGAUACUGGAUGGCUUGAAUUCGGGAGAGGGAUGCAGAAUUCCAGGUGUAGCGGUGAAACGCGUAGAUAUCUGGAGGAAUACCGGUGGCGAAGGCGGCAUCCUGGACCGAGAUUGACACUGAGGAGCGAAAGCUAGGGGAGCAAACG